GUGCAUGGCACUUUUGUAUUUCACUGAAAAAUAAUAUCGAUUGGUCACCAAGUCAAAAACAAGAUUUAGCUGUUAGUUGAUGUUUUCUGAUAUCUACAAGAUUCCACUUGAUUUGUUUUUGUUUCGUGUAGGAUCGUAUUGUAAAUAAAUGUUUGAUAAUGUCAAUCUUGAAUAACAGUUAUCUUUUUGUUUCUUACUGAAUUGAUAUGAAGGAACCAUACACGCACAGUAUACAGAGGUUAGUCAGUUUCUAUACACAAUGCCUUUUCUUUAUACACUGUUCGAAAUUUUAAAAUAAUAUUUUUAAUCACAAUACAUUAUUAUUGAUAUGAAUUGUAUGUUUGAUGAUUAAAGCAAGAAACUUUGCAGAAUGUAUAUUUAUGUGGUCGUCAAAUUAUGCUUUGGACCAAAUUUAACAAAAAGGCAAUAUGGCGGCCAUUUAAGAAAUCUGUCAAUCAGUCUCAAUUUUACAACCAUGUAAAUAUUAAAGCAAAUAAAAAUUCAAACAAAAUCUCUUAAAAACAUAUAAAAUGUAUUUCAAUAAGUUAAUCAUUACGUUAUAUAAUACUCCAAAGUCUAUUAUAAUGGCCGAAAAUUAAAAAAAAAACCGCCAAAAAGUGUAAAUGAACAAAACUGUGUUAUGGUUUUGACUAUAUUCGUGUCUGGAAGGAAUGCAAUGUAUACCUAUCUUUAUGGUAAGGUACAUCUGACCUUGACAAUAAUUACAUGCCUUGGAUAUUUGAAGUAAGACUUAAAGAGUUUACAAAAUAUCAGUAUAGCAGACGAGACAUGUCUGUGUUUGCACUCUUGCUUUUACAGAAACGUUGGCUAAAAAAAAGGGAAACGAUACUUAUUUAAUUGUUUAAAAUACAGCACACUGUGUGAGUUAAGCAAUAUGCAAUUUCAACAGGC
RNAcentral lists this long non-coding RNA (912 nucleotides) under Mytilus galloprovincialis (Mediterranean mussel). Lineage: Eukaryota; Metazoa; Mollusca; Bivalvia; Mytilida; Mytilidae. The record is from RNAcentral.